This 1415-nucleotide long non-coding RNA is filed under the name Homo sapiens (human). Its description in RNAcentral is "HSALNT0386759". Lineage: Eukaryota; Metazoa; Chordata; Mammalia; Primates; Hominidae. The record is from RNAcentral.
CAGAUGUGAGACACCUUGACCAACUGAGAAUUUUUAAAACUACAAAUAUACAAUUAAGAGCAUACAUGAAGAUUAAGAAGACCUCUAGGAUGGCCUGGAAGGAGUUCCUCGUCUCCUGUGGUCCAACGGCAGAUAUGGCUGAACUGAAAAGGGCUGCAAGUUUGCAGAGGCAAAGCUCCUGCCCCAAGGGACAGGGGCAGCUGAGGCACAGCAGGCCGGCACUAAAGGCCCACUCUCUCCAAGAUCAUCCUCUCCUAGAGCUGCAGAGGUUGCCAUGGAGACAGACAAUCACAUUGGCCCACGAGUCAGCUCACACCCAGGACCUCAAAGGGUACCCUCUUGCAGUAAGCACUGCUGGCUGCCCACCCAACCGCCCUUACCCCCUUUUUUGCUCCUGGAACUCUUGUGUCACAGGCCAAUCCUGAUGAGUCUACGUUGGUGAAGUGUGAGCCUCCCAUUCUCCUUGCCAGUGAUUGGCUUACAGGUUCCCUUCAAAUUAAGUCAUCUCUUCUUCAAGGCUCAGUCAUAUAAAUUUCAAAGGACACGUGGCCAUGCUCCAUACCAGAAAGGUUUGAAGGAGGUUUAACAACCUCAAGAAACUCAGACAAUCAUCCAGUGCCUCGCCCAGCAGGAAAGUGCUGAAGCGGGUGGGGUGACUGGUCACCAAGCAAGGCUCAUGCGGAUGGGCAUCGAUAAAGACAUCGAUAAAGACGUGGUUACCAUGGCAACCAUCACUUCUAACUUCUUAUCAAACCACAUCCUGUGAACAUGAGGGAGCAGAGCCGAAGUGAGAGCCAGAGACCCUGCAUCCUUCCUUAUUCUACUCUUGCUACCAUUCCGCACCACUACCGUGCCUCAGUUUCCCCCAAUUUAAAGUGAGACAAUACUUCUUUACCUUUCAUCUGACCACGGACACUUGGGAAGCCAUGCCUAGAGGAGGCUUCACCCCUCAGUGAAAAGAGACCUCAGGGAGACCUUGUUCUCCCUGAGCCUUGUACAUUCAGAUUUUCUAGGAGUUGAACAGGUAAGAGGUACCUGAGUAAGAGGUAUAAUAUUAAUAAUUCUACCGCCUGCUCUAUGACUGUCCAUGUGAUGUUGGGCAAGUCAAUCUCUCUGAGCCUCAGUUUCUUUAUCUCUAAAAUGGGCAUAACUAUUUAUGCCCUCUCUACUUUACAGAGUUAUGGUGAGAGCUGUACAAGGUAAUGUUGUGGAAGCAUUCUGAAAGAUGUAAAAUCUCACAUAAAUGGAAGGAACAAAUAUUGCCUUCCAUUUAUACUCCCUCCUCUUAAGUUCCUCUAAAUCAAUUUAUAGAUGAAAACCCGUUAGCCUGAAGAGUUCCAGCACCACUGCUUUCCUUAGAAUACUGGUUCUCAAGCCAGGUGUGGUGGCUCACGCCUGUAAUCCCAGCACUUUGG